UACCCCUUCCGGAAGCUGCCCCUCCCCCUCCACAAGCUGCCCCUCCCGCUCCGCGAGUGUACGGUCUCACGCACUACAGUUCCCAGCAUGCCGUUCGAGCAACCUUGGAGGCGGAACCAGUGUCGCCAUAGCAACUGUUCCGGAUUGUUUCCAAUGCAUCGCUGGGAUUUAGCAAGAAACUUGUAGCAAUAAGGACAAGAUUGUAAGCCUGGAGAUGCCAGAGGCUACCACAUGAAUCUUAAGAAUGAAGCUGACACAGCAGAAGGCUGAGCCAAGAAGCUACGAGAAACUGAAUUUUGAUUACAUUUUUUGAGCUCCUGGAUCAAACCACUCAUGACACUAAACAACCCCAAGGCUUUUCUGCUACAUGAAUAAAUACAUUUUCUUUCCUAUUUAAA
Camelus dromedarius (Arabian camel) is the source of this 398-nucleotide long non-coding RNA. RefSeq lists it as uncharacterized. The record is from RefSeq and is a predicted model, not a curated record. The transcript is spliced from 2 exons. Lineage: Eukaryota; Metazoa; Chordata; Mammalia; Artiodactyla; Camelidae.